UACGAAGGGGGCGAGCGUUGUUCGGAAUCACUGGGCGUAAAGCGCACGUAGGCGGCGCGUUAAGUCAGGGGUGAAAUCCUGGAGCUCAACUCCAGAACUGCCUUUGAUACUGGCGUGCUCGAGUGUGGGAGAGGUUGGGGGAACUCCGAGUGUAGAGGUGAAAUUCGUAGAUAUUCGGAAGAACAUCAGUGGCGAAGGCGGCCACCUGGCCCAUUCGUGACGCUGAGGUGCGACUGCGUGGGGCGCAAACAGC
Molecule: ribosomal RNA, 253 nt
Filed under: uncultured bacterium
Lineage: Bacteria
Description: partial 16S ribosomal RNA
Rfam family: Bacterial small subunit ribosomal RNA
Source: RNAcentral